GAUGAAGAACGUAGUGAAAUGCGAUAAGUAGUGUGAAUUGCAGAAUUCAGUGAAUCAUCGAAUCUUUGAACGCACAUUGCGCCCGCCAGUAUUCUGGCGGGCAUGCCUGUUCGAGCGUCAUUUCAACCCUCAAGACCCCUUCGGGGGACUUGGUGUUGGGGACCGGCACAGGGGCCUGCCUGCUUGUCUUGCAGCGCCCUCGCCGCCCCCGAAAUGAAUUGGCGGCCUCGUCGCGGCCUCCCCUGCGUAGUAGCACAACCUCGCAACGGGAACGUGACGGCGGCCACUGCCGUAAAACAACCCAAUUUUAUUAGAGUUGACCUCGAAUCAGGUAGGAAUACCCGCUGAACUUAAGCAUAUCAAUAAGCGGAGGA
RNAcentral lists this unclassified non-coding RNA (374 nucleotides) under soil metagenome. RNAcentral describes it as "partial contains 5.8S ribosomal RNA, internal transcribed spacer 2, and large subunit ribosomal RNA". The stretch from base 1 to 120 matches the Rfam family "5.8S ribosomal RNA", at positions 35 to 154 of the family's 154-position model. The record is from RNAcentral.